GAUGAACGCUGGCGGCGUGCCUAAUACAUGCAAGUCGAGCGAACGGACGAGAAGCUUGCUUUUCUGAUGUUAGCGGCGGACGGGUGAGUAACACGUGGAUAACCUACCUAUAAGACUGGGAUAACUUCGGGAAACCGGAGCUAAUACCGGAUAAUAUUUUGAACCGCAUGGUUCAAAAGUGAAAGACGGUCUUGCUGUCACUUAUAGAUGGAUCCGCGCUGCAUUAGCUAGUUGGUAAGGUAACGGCUUACCAAGGCAACGAUGCAUAGCCGACCUGAGAGGGUGAUCGGCCACACUGGAACUGAGACACGGUCCAGACUCCUACGGGAGGCAGCAGUAGGGAAUCUUCCGCAAUGGGCGAAAGCCUGACGGAGCAACGCCGCGUGAGUAAUGAAGGUCUUCGGAUCGUAAAACUCUGUUAUUAGGGAAGAACAUAUGUGUAAGUAUCUGUGCACAUCUUGACGGUACCUAAUCAGAAAGCCACGGCUAACUACGUG
RNAcentral lists this ribosomal RNA (497 nucleotides) under uncultured bacterium. RNAcentral's name for it is "partial 16S ribosomal RNA". It matches the Rfam family "Bacterial small subunit ribosomal RNA", at positions 28 to 507 of the family's 1533-position model. The record is from RNAcentral.